Molecule: long non-coding RNA, 2132 nt
Filed under: Calidris pygmaea (Spoon-billed sandpiper)
Lineage: Eukaryota; Metazoa; Chordata; Aves; Charadriiformes; Scolopacidae
Description: lncRNA (ENSCPGG00000004457.1)
Source: RNAcentral
UGAUUCUUGGUGACCAUUUAUUAGAAGCUGUAAUGACCCAUAUGGGGCCAUAUUCAGCUGAAGAACCGUUUCAGAGGUGUCUUCUGCUGCACACCCUUGUUGCGGUCUAGCGUUAGCAGCAUACUUCACAUUGUCUUCAAUUGCCACCUAAAUGGAGUCAAGCCAAAUCUUUUCACUUUCUUUUCUAUUUUGGAAAAGCUUUUGAAAAAACAAUCCCAAGCUUCUACACCACCUUCAACUCGACAGGGAACCCGCAGUGUGUCUGCCACCCAGCCUUCCUCUCCAUCUGUCAACUUGCGUCGUGGUGCUCAUGUCCAGAACAUGAACGUGGACCUCAGCUACCUGGAUCAGGACAUGAAGGUAAGACUUGAGUGCUGUAGUAUAUGGCUUCCUAUAAUGUUACAUAUUUUUCUUGAGGAUGGUGUGGGGUGUUAUUUGUCCAUUUUUUUCCCCCCAGCGUGGAUUCUACUGACUUAAUUUGAUGUUCAGGAUUUACUCAGAGUUGCUUUCACCUAACUGGAAGGUGCUAUUGGUGAAUCACUGGGGGAGCACAGCAGCUGGCACAUGGCUGAAACUUGUGCUCUAGAACACAGCCUGCAAAUACUACACGUCACACGCAAGGGGCUUUACACGUAGGAAACACUACUUGCCCUUUCCUUCCUGUGCCUCUGAAGCACUGUGUACAUGGCACUCUCUGGACAUCACCUUUUGUGGUCUGGUGGCCUUUGCUCACACUGGGUCAAAACUGGGGGGGCACCUUAGGCUGGGCAGUGGGCACAGCUGUAAAACUGCAUGCUGACAGGGCUAGAGCUGAACUGAAACCCACACAACAACUGGGAGGCGAAACAGCUUCUCUUCCUUCAUGGUUACCAUCCUGUACAUCUUCCAGGUGCUGGAAAAGCUUGGCCAAGUUUUACAGACAGAUUCGGUUACCCAGAUCCAGAAAUGGCUUGAAACGGCAAGUAUAGAAGAGAAAGGCUUCGUGUACAGACUGAUUUUCUCAAAACCGACUGACAAAGGUGUGCUGAACUCUAAGGAAGGUCCAGCAGAGAACAUGAAUACCCAGACUCUGCUACAGCCUCACCCUCUUCCUCCGAGAGGACCAGAAGGGGAAAUGAAUCAGUCCAGGUAAAAAUUGCAGUGAGGUUGCGAAGACUGGGGACAGACUAAAGCCCAUAACCAGAAACCCUUGUUUUCUCCUCCCAUGAAACACUUAUCAUGCACAGCCUGAAGCAGAAAUGUUCCUAACUCCAAACAACCCCAGGCUCUUUGAUACAACUUUGGUUACUACAGGAAAAAGCGGAAAGUUUCUGGAGUACUCAAAACCCUGUUGGGAAAAAACCACCUGUACAUUAUACUACACAGUUUUUACUAGUUAUAAAAUUAAACAUUCUUUCUUUUUUAUUCAGGUCUUCAUCCAGCUCAUCAGUGGUGAGUCGAAACAUUAAACAGGGUAAGACACAGAAAUUACAAAUGUUAAGAUACCGUAUGUCUUGGAUGCUAGUCACCAAACAGCACAGGACUGUGAAUCUUCCAAAGCUCUAACUUCUGUCUUCGCAGCACCACCCAAAUUAGAAUCACAGAAUUCAGAGACAAUAUCAUUCUCAUAUUACAUUUAAAACCUGAAUUUACGUUCACUAAGAGUAUCGCUAAGAUACGCAAGACCCUCUAUACAGCUGUAUCUGCCUCUGCUAGAAAGAACACAGCAGCAAGAGGUACUGAGUUCAUCUCUUCACCAAAGUCUGCACCUGUGAGUUAUACACAAGCUGAAACUCCUCCUUCUGCCAACAAACUUGGGGAUUUGCCAGUCUUGGCACUCCCACGAAACACCACUCUCACCUCUUUCUGUUCCUUCUAAAGCACACAGAAGCAACAAGAGUCACGCCCAGAGUGUUAUCUUUUAAACAAAGCCAUUCAUGCCAGCUCUAAUGCUACCAGCUUUCUAACUCCUCCAGUAAGAGUGGGUGAAGAGUAAUCUUAUGUAAGAACAAAUAGGAAAAAGAAGGAACUGCCAAAGCAACAGUCUCUCCUUUUCCAAGUGGUGUCCAGGGAUGAUUCCUUGCUAAAGUGCGGAUGUGCUUCUAUACUCUCAGCUGUGUGUGGAACAAAGCUAAUCCAGCCUAACAUAACCU